Molecule: long non-coding RNA, 789 nt
Organism: Prosopis cineraria
Lineage: Eukaryota; Viridiplantae; Streptophyta; Magnoliopsida; Fabales; Fabaceae
Exons: 3
Source: RefSeq, a predicted model, not a curated record
UUCUAUUCAGCGCCGCCAUCGUACUCCUCUGGCUCUUCACCAUUGGUCCACUUCUCCAGCUCUUCUCAUCAUUUUCCUUGCUUCACCGUCGAACUCUUCCUCGCCGUCAGCUGUGUCUUUAAUCCUCAUCACGUUCUGUCAUUAGGGGGCGCUGUCAUUGCCGGAUUCCUUCCUUGUCUGCCACCCCUGUUUCGUUUCUGAUCUUUUCAGUUUCACCCACGGUGUGUAGGGCCUGUAUGUAUGAGUAAGCUUUAAUUUUCUCUCCUUCUCAGCUGACAGUUUAAUGUGUAUGGUGUAAGUUCAGUCCUUUCUUGUUGUGAGUCUGAGAUUUUUGUUUCUUUUCCUGCUAAUUCAAGUAACAAAAAUCAAAGUUAUUCUCCUCUUCUUCGGUGGUAUCCGUGAAUUGAAGUGUGGCUGAAGUUACAAUAAAUUUAGUUGAGGGAAUUGUUGGUGGAACUUAUUGAGAAGUUAAGGAAUAAGCUAAGUCUUAUUUUGUACAAGAGGAACCCUUUUGCUACCAAAGGGUUGAGGUCCGGCAAAGGAAUUAGUGGAGAAUGGGGAAAGGAGCAGAGCUAGGGGUUAUUUGUGAAUUGUAAAGAACUACAACCCCUUUCUUUUGAGAAAAUCUAUUGUAAUGUAUUUAGAUUAGGGUGCCAGUAGGAUAUGAUUAUGUAUAUGUGCAUGAGUAUGUGUGGAUUGUAUGGCUUGUAUAUGAAUUUUUGUUUGCUUGUAGACUUGUGGCUAGAAAACUUGGUUAUAGUGUGUGGUUUUGAUGGAUUUAUUUAGUAG